GAUGAACGCUGGCGGCGUGCCUAAUACAUGCAAGUCGAGCGAACAGACGAGGAGCUUGCUCCUCUGACGUUAGCGGCGGACGGGUGAGUAAUACGUGGAUAACUUACCUAUAAGACUGGGAUAACUUCGGGAAACCGGAGCUAAUACCGGAUAAUAUAUUGAACCGCAUGGUUCAAUAGUGAAAGACGGUUUUGCUGUCACUUAUAGAUGGAUCCGCGCCGCAUUAGCUAGUUGGUAAGGUAACGGCUUACCAAGGCAACGAUGCGUAGCCGACCUGAGAGGGUGAUCGGCCACACUGGAACUGAGACACGGUCCAGACUCCUACGGGAGGCAGCAGUAGGGAAUCUUCCGCAAUGGGCGAAAGCCUGACGGAGCAACGCCGCGUGAGUGAUGAAGGUCUUCGGAUCGUAAAACUCUGUUAUUAGGGAAGAACAAAUGUGUAAGUAACUAUGCACGUCUUGACGGUACCUAAUCAGAAAGCCACGGCUAACUACGUG
This 497-nucleotide ribosomal RNA is filed under the name uncultured bacterium. Its description in RNAcentral is "partial 16S ribosomal RNA". It matches the Rfam family "Bacterial small subunit ribosomal RNA", at positions 28 to 507 of the family's 1533-position model. The record is from RNAcentral.